This 492-nucleotide ribosomal RNA is filed under the name uncultured bacterium. RNAcentral's name for it is "partial 16S ribosomal RNA". It matches the Rfam family "Bacterial small subunit ribosomal RNA", at positions 29 to 507 of the family's 1533-position model. The record is from RNAcentral.
AGCGAACGCUGGCGGUAUGCCUAACACAUGCAAGUCGAACGGCAGCACAGUAAGAGCUUGCUCUUACGGGUUGCGAGUGGCGGACGGGUGAGGAAUACAUCGGAAUCUACUUUUUCGUGGGGGAUAACGUAGGGAAACUUACGCUAAUACCGCAUACGACCUACGGGUGAAAGCAGGGGAUCUUCGGACCUUGCGCGAUUGAAUGAGCCGAUGUCGGAUUAGCUAGUUGGCGGGGUAAAGGCCCACCAAGGCGACGAUCCGUAGCUGGUCUGAGAGGAUGAUCAGCCACACUGGAACUGAGACACGGUCCAGACUCCUACGGGAGGCAGCAGUGGGGAAUAUUGGACAAUGGGCGAAAGCCUGAUCCAGCCAUACCGCGUGGGUGAAGAAGGCCUUCGGGUUGUAAAGCCCUUUUGUUGGGAAAGAAAAGCAGCAGGUUAAUACCACGCUGUUCUGACGGUACCCAACGAAUAAGCAACGGCUAACUUCGUG